AUUGAACGCUGGCGGCAGGCCUAACACAUGCAAGUCGAACGAGUGGCGGACGGGUGAGGAAUACCUCGGACCCUACUCUGUCGCGGGGGAUCACGUAGGGAAACUUACGCUCCUACCGCAUACGAUCGAAUGUGCCGCUGUCGGAUUAGCUAGCUGGCGGGGUAAGGGCCCACCAAGGCGACGAUCCGUAGCUGGUCUGAGAGGAUGAUCAGCCACACUGGAACUGAGACACGGUCCAGACUCCUACGGGCGGCAGCAGUGGGGAAUAUUGGACAGUGGGCGCAAGCCUGAUCCAGCCAUACCGCGUGGGUGAAGAAGGCCUUCGGGUUGUAAAGCCCUUUUGUUGGGAAAGCGGUACCCAAAGAAUAAGCACCGGCUAACUGCGUGCCAGCAGCCGCGGUAAUUC
Molecule: ribosomal RNA, 406 nt
Filed under: uncultured bacterium
Lineage: Bacteria
Description: partial 16S ribosomal RNA
Rfam family: Bacterial small subunit ribosomal RNA
Source: RNAcentral